Molecule: ribosomal RNA, 1313 nt
Filed under: Bacillus sp. EN-8
Lineage: Bacteria; Bacillati; Bacillota; Bacilli; Caryophanales; Bacillaceae
Description: bacterial SSU rRNA
Rfam family: Bacterial small subunit ribosomal RNA
Source: RNAcentral
UGCAGUCGAGCGGACAGAUGGGAGCUUGCUCCCUGAUGUUAGCGGCGGACGGGUGAGUAACACGUGGGUAACCUGCCUGUAAGACUGGGAUAACUCCGGGAAACCGGGGCUAAUACCGGAUGGUUGUUUGAACCGCAUGGUUCAAACAUAAAAGGUGGCUUCGGCUACCACUUACAGAUGGACCCGCGGCGCAUUAGCUAGUUGGUGAGGUAACGGCUCACCAAGGCAACGAUGCGUAGCCGACCUGAGAGGGUGAUCGGCCACACUGGGACUGAGACACGGCCCAGACUCCUACGGGAGGCAGCAGUAGGGAAUCUUCCGCAAUGGACGAAAGUCUGACGGAGCAACGCCGCGUGAGUGAUGAAGGUUUUCGGAUCGUAAAGCUCUGUUGUUAGGGAAGAACAAGUACCGUUCGAAUAGGGCGGUACCUUGACGGUACCUAACCAGAAAGCCACGGCUAACUACGUGCCAGCAGCCGCGGUAAUACGUAGGUGGCAAGCGUUGUCCGGAAUUAUUGGGCGUAAAGGGCUCGCAGGCGGUUUCUUAAGUCUGAUGUGAAAGCCCCCGGCUCAACCGGGGAGGGUCAUUGGAAACUGGGGAACUUGAGUGCAGAAGAGGAGAGUGGAAUUCCACGUGUAGCGGUGAAAUGCGUAGAGAUGUGGAGGAACACCAGUGGCGAAGGCGACUCUCUGGUCUGUAACUGACGCUGAGGAGCGAAAGCGUGGGGAGCGAACAGGAUUAGAUACCCUGGUAGUCCACGCCGUAAACGAUGAGUGCUAAGUGUUAGGGGGUUUCCGCCCCUUAGUGCUGCAGCUAACGCAUUAAGCACUCCGCCUGGGGAGUACGGUCGCAAGACUGAAACUCAAAGGAAUUGACGGGUGCCCGCACCAAGCGGUGGAGCAUGUGGUUUAAUUCGAAGCAACGCGAAGAACCUUACCAGGUCUUGACAUCCUCUGACAAUCCUAGAGAUAGGACGUCCCCUUCGGGGGCAGAGUGACAGGUGGUGCAUGGUUGUCGUCAGCUCGUGUCGUGAGAUGUUGGGUUAAGUCCCGCAACGAGCGCAACCCUUGAUCUUAGUUGCCAGCAUUCAGUUGGGCACUCUAAGGUGACUGCCGGUGACAAACCGGAGGAAGGUGGGGAUGACGUCAAAUCAUCAUGCCCCUUAUGACCUGGGCUACACACGUGCUACAAUGGACAGAACAAAGGGCAGCGAAACCGCGAGGUUAAGCCAAUCCCACAAAUCUGUUCUCAGUUCGGAUCGCAGUCUGCAACUCGACUGCGUGAAGCUGGAAUCGCUAGUAAUCGCGGAUCAG